AUCUGAGGCUGUUUGGAUUUCUCUUCUCACAUUGCCCCAUUCAGGAAGAACGAGAUGGUUGGAUGACAUCACCAACUCAAUGGACAGGAGUUUGAGCAAACUCUGGGAGAUGGUGAAGAACAGGGAAGCCUCGCAUGCUGCAGUCCAUGUUGUCACAAAGAGUUGGACACAACUGAGCAACUCAACAACAACAACAACAAAUUUUCCCCCAUGUCAUUUUCUUUAUCCUGUCCAUGCAUUUUCUGCUCCAGGAAAAACAAAAUACUUUCAGUUCUUUCAACAAGUCAUGUCUUCUCACCUAUAGGCCUUUUAUAUGCUUAUUCUUUUAUUUUUUUCUCUCUCCCGUAAACUCUUGUCCUGUUUAAUUCUGUUCAACCUUCACCCACCCCCCAACACUACCUCCAUAGUGGUGCUUUUUCCUUGAAGAUGUCACUUUCUUGUCCCCUCCCAACCAUCACCACCACCACUCCCCCAAUCCCUACCCAGAUUCUAAGCUUUCCUAAGAAAUUCAAAGCAUACAUUACUC
Bos taurus (domestic cattle) is the source of this 526-nucleotide long non-coding RNA. The record is from Ensembl. NCBI's taxonomy places the organism in Eukaryota, Metazoa, Chordata, Mammalia, Artiodactyla, Bovidae.